This 253-nucleotide ribosomal RNA is filed under the name uncultured bacterium. RNAcentral's name for it is "partial 16S ribosomal RNA". It matches the Rfam family "Bacterial small subunit ribosomal RNA", at positions 524 to 776 of the family's 1533-position model. The record is from RNAcentral.
UACGAAGGGGGCUAGCGUUGUUCGGAAUUACUGGGCGUAAAGCGUGCGCAGGCGGCUGCUCAAGUCAGGGGUGAAAGCCCAGAGCUCAACUCUGGAAUUGCCUUUGAGACUGAGUGGCUUGAGUACGGGAGAGGUGAGUGGAAUUCCCAGUGUAGAGGUGAAAUUCGUAGAUAUUGGGAAGAACACCGGUGGCGAAGGCGGCUCACUGGCCCGUAACUGACGCUCAGGCACGACAGCGUGGGGAUCAACCAGU